CGAAGGGUGCAAACGUUGCUCGGAAUUAUUGGGCGUAAAGCGCACGUAGGCGGCUCUGUAAGUUGGAUGUGAAAUCCCUCGGCUCAACCAAGGAAGUGCAUUCAAAACUGCAAAGCUUGAGUACUUAAGAGGAUCGCGGAAUUCCCGGUGUAGAGGUGAAAUUCGUAGAUAUCGGGAGGAACACCAGUGGCGAAGGCGGCGAUCUGGGAAGAUACUGACGCUGAGGUGCGAAAGCGUGGGGGAGCAAACAGGAUUAGAUACCCUGGUAGUCCACGCCGUAAACGAUGAGUGCUAGGUGCUGUGGGUAUUGACCCCCCGCGGUGCCGCAGCCAACGCGUUAAGCACUCCGCCUGGGGAGUACGGCCGCAAGGCUA
RNAcentral lists this ribosomal RNA (374 nucleotides) under uncultured organism. RNAcentral's name for it is "bacterial SSU rRNA". It matches the Rfam family "Bacterial small subunit ribosomal RNA", at positions 526 to 896 of the family's 1533-position model. The record is from RNAcentral.